Molecule: ribosomal RNA, 250 nt
Filed under: uncultured bacterium
Lineage: Bacteria
Description: partial 16S ribosomal RNA
Rfam family: Bacterial small subunit ribosomal RNA
Source: RNAcentral
UACGAAGGGUGCAAGCGUUACUCGGAAUUACUGGGCGUAAAGCGUGCGUAGGUGGUUCGUUAAGUCUGCCGUGAAAGCCCCGGGCUCAACCUGGGAAUGGCGGUGGAUACUGGCGGACUAGAGUGCGGUAGAGGGUGGUGGAAUUCCCGGUGUAGCAGUGAAAUGCGUAGAGAUCGGGAGGAACAUCUGUGGCGAAGGCGGCCACCUGGACCAGCACUGACACUGAGGCACGAAAGCGUGGGGAGCAAAC